UACGUAGGGGCCGAGCGUUGUCCGGAGUUAUUGGGCGUAAAGCGCGCGCAGGCGGCCUCGCGCGCCCGACGUGAAAGCCCCCGGCUUAACCGGGGAGGGUCGUUGGGGACGGCGGGGCUUGAGGGCGGGAGAGGUCGGUGGAAUUCCCGGUGUAGUGGUGAAAUGCGUAGAUAUGACUCGGAAGGCCAAAGGCGAAGGCAGGUUACUGGUACGCAACUGACGCUGAGGCACGAAAGCGUGGGGAGCAAACAGG
RNAcentral lists this ribosomal RNA (253 nucleotides) under uncultured bacterium. Its description in RNAcentral is "partial 16S ribosomal RNA". It matches the Rfam family "Bacterial small subunit ribosomal RNA", at positions 524 to 776 of the family's 1533-position model. The record is from RNAcentral.